GACAGUGGAGCCUGCACCGGAAGCGACCUCACAGUGGAGGUCUGCAGCCAGGACCGUUCUGGUCCUGGUGGAACAAUGCCUAGUACUAAAAAAUGUUUUUUUGGUUGUAAGGGAAAGUUAUUUAAUUUCUUUGGUUUUCCGAAAGACCCAAGUACCAGGCAAGAGUGGGUAGAUACGCUGAUUCCCGGCCAACAACAGAAGACUCUGUGGGUUUGUCAACGGCACUUCCUACCGGAUUGUUUCACAAACCUGGGCCAAUGCAAGGUUGGAUUAGCAGCUAAACUGGUGCUCAUUGAUGGCUCAGUUCCAACAAUCCUCGGCCGUGUGGAAGAGUCAGAAGCUCAGAGUACAUCACAGCAGACCCUGACCGGUGAAACACGCAGGGACAUGGGAUGUCAAACAGACCCUCCAUAUACACUGUCCAGUGCAACGCAGACGGUGUGCAAUGUGAGAUCUGUUGGCACAAAAAUGCUGUUUCCGUCUUCAAAAUCUGUGGCCACACAGUUGUCACUUACUACACUGAAACAACACGUGAGAAGCAAAGGUUCACAGGCCACUGUGUCCUGCCAGAAUGCUGGCACAGAGACCAUUGUGCAAGAAAAGGGGCUAGAAUGGUCUUCCAACCCAGUGAAGGGGUUGGCAUCCUCAAUGGGUGUCAGAGCAGCUAAAAGAGCUCGCCUUGAGUUGCUAGAGUCAGACGAGGAGUCGGAACGAGAAGACUGUCGUUUCAGAGACACAUGACUCAACAUAUAUAUUUUUUUAACAUGUUUCAACAGUUAAUUUCAUCUUCAGCUCCAACAAAAACUCUCUAACCUUGCAUAAAUCUUGGUUGUAUCGGUAUUAGCAUGGUAGCCAGACAUUUAAUUUGCUAUUUCAUGUUAUUUAUGUUUUUUUUAAUAUUCACUGGUUGUGCUGAUAAAGUAAUUUCUUUGAAUAAACAUGUUCCUGCCAAAUUUUCCUUUUCUCAAUACAUCCAGUCAUGUCCGUGAUGGUAAUAAUAGUGUAGUCCAUAGGAUAACAAUGAGAUGAAUAUACAACAUAAUAAUAGCGUUUAUGAAUGUUUGACAAUUUUCUUUUUAUUAAUGGGGUUUACACUUAUGACCCAGGAUGACCAAUAGAGCUACACAGCCACAGAUCUGCCAACCAAUCACGAGUGAUUUUUCUUGUUUAAAAGUAGUGAUUUCAACCAAACCGAAAUUCAGGCCGGCAAGACAUUCACGGCCAGGCGCUGUUUAGGCUGCUGUUCAUAUGCUAAUUAGAGCCAUUGACAACUGCACGGAGGUGUCCCGCAACCCGCCAAAUCUUCAAACUAAUUAUUUUAAGUGAUGCAUUUAACUUGCCGUACUCGCAAAUAUUACCAUUUGAUUGCAGUUAUUGUAUUUUUAUUAACCUCAUGUUUCCUGUAAGAAUCUAAGAUUAGCUGAGAACUGCCCAGUCUAUCGACCACUCCGAAACGCAACUAAAGACUCACUUUUUUACAUUGGCGUUUAAUACCGAUUAAGAUUUUAUUUCAUCUUAUUUAUUGUUGCUAAUAUGCAAGUUUAAGCCUUGUUUUCAUAUUGUAUUUGUGUACAGCACUUGUCAAGUACUGUUGUUUUAAAAUGUGCUAUAUAAAUAAACGUGACAAAUGUAUCUC
Molecule: long non-coding RNA, 1636 nt
Organism: Gadus chalcogrammus (walleye pollock)
Lineage: Eukaryota; Metazoa; Chordata; Actinopteri; Gadiformes; Gadidae
Exons: 3
Source: RefSeq, a predicted model, not a curated record